UACGAAGGGGGCUAGCGUUGUUCGGAAUUACUGGGCGUAAAGCGUGCGCAGGCGGCUUCUCAAGUCAGGGGUGAAAGCCCAGAGCUCAACUCUGGAAUUGCCUUUGAGACUGAGUGGCUUGAGUACGAGAGAGGUGAGUGGAAUUCCCAGUGUAGAGGUGAAAUUCGUAGAUAUUAGGAAGAACACCGGUGGCGAAGGCGGCCAUCUGGGAUACAACUGACGCUGAGGCGCGAAAGCGUGGGGAUCAAACAGG
RNAcentral lists this ribosomal RNA (253 nucleotides) under uncultured bacterium. RNAcentral describes it as "partial 16S ribosomal RNA". It matches the Rfam family "Bacterial small subunit ribosomal RNA", at positions 524 to 776 of the family's 1533-position model. The record is from RNAcentral.